GGACAGAUGGCGGAGAGGUCUAACGCGCUGUGUUCAGGUUUUCAUAUCGCCUCGCAGUCUCCUAGGAGGCGUGGGUUCGAAUCCCACUCUGUUCA
Molecule: non-coding RNA, 95 nt
Organism: Microbotryomycetes sp. JL221
Lineage: Eukaryota; Fungi; Basidiomycota; Microbotryomycetes
Source: the annotation of a GenBank genome assembly